CCGGGAUAGCUCAGCUGGUAGAGCAGAGGACUG
Molecule: transfer RNA, 33 nt
Filed under: Metaporana parvifolia
Lineage: Eukaryota; Viridiplantae; Streptophyta; Magnoliopsida; Solanales; Convolvulaceae
Description: partial tRNA-Phe
Source: RNAcentral